GACAGAGGAUGCAAACGUUGCUCGGAAUUACUGGGCGUAAAGCGCGUGUAGGUGGCCUUGUUAGUCCGGUGUGAAAGCCCAGGGCUCAACCCUGGAAGUGCAUCGGAUACUGCAAGGCUGGAGUACUGAAGAGGAGAGCGGAAUUCCCGGUGUAGAGGUGAAAUUCGUAGAUAUCGGGAGGAACACCAGUGGCGAAGGCGGCUCUCUGGGCAGAUACUGACACUGAGACGCGAAAGCGUGGGGAGCAAACAGG
RNAcentral lists this ribosomal RNA (253 nucleotides) under uncultured bacterium. RNAcentral's name for it is "partial 16S ribosomal RNA". It matches the Rfam family "Bacterial small subunit ribosomal RNA", at positions 524 to 776 of the family's 1533-position model. The record is from RNAcentral.